RNAcentral lists this ribosomal RNA (447 nucleotides) under uncultured marine eukaryote. RNAcentral's name for it is "SSU rRNA". It matches the Rfam family "Eukaryotic small subunit ribosomal RNA", at positions 21 to 471 of the family's 1831-position model. The record is from RNAcentral.
UAGUCAUAUGCUUGUCUCAAGGAUUAAGCCAUGCAUGUCUCAGUAUAAGUCUAUCUAUGUCGAAACUGCGAAUGGCUCAUUAAAACAGUUAUAACUCGCUCGAUUAUCUACUAAUAUUUGGAUACCUGUGGUAAUUCUAGAGCUAAUACAUGCGUAAAGGCGUGACUUCUUGGAGACGCUGCACAUAUUAGAUACAGAACCAAUCUGCGUAGCAGAAUUUGGAUGACUCAUGAUAUACGUACGGAGCGCAUGACUUGUGUCGGCGCUGCAUCGUCCAUGUUUCUGACCUAUCAGCUUUCGACGGUAGGGUAUUGGCCUACCGUGGCAUUGACGGGUGACGGAGAAUUAGGGUUCGACUCCGGAGAGGGAGCCCGAGAAACGGCUACCACAUCUAAGGAAGGCAGCAGGCGCGUAAAUUACCCAAUCCUGAUACAGGGAGGUAGUGAC